RNAcentral lists this unclassified non-coding RNA (404 nucleotides) under soil metagenome. Its description in RNAcentral is "partial contains 5.8S ribosomal RNA, internal transcribed spacer 2, and large subunit ribosomal RNA". The stretch from base 1 to 121 matches the Rfam family "5.8S ribosomal RNA", at positions 35 to 154 of the family's 154-position model. The record is from RNAcentral.
GAUGAAGAACGCAGCGAAAUGCGAUAAGUAAUGUGAAUUGCAGAAUUCAGUGAAUCAUCGAAUCUUUGAACGCACCUUGCGCCCUUUGGACAUUCCGAAGGGCAUGCCUGUUUGAGUAUCAUGAACACCUCAACUCUCACGGCUUGUCCGUGAUGAGCUUGGACUUUGGGGGUCUUGCCGGCCUGUGGUCGGCUCCUCUCAAAUGGAUCAGCUUGCCAGUGUUUGGUGGCAUCACAGGUGUGAUAACUAUCUGCGCUUGUGGUUUUCCAUCAGAUAACCUUCAGUGAUAUGGAGGUUCGCUGGAGCUCACAAAUGUCUCUCCUUAGUGAGGACAGCUCUUUGAACGUUUGAUCUCAAAUCAGGUAGGACUACCCGCUGAACUUAAGCAUAUCAAUAACGGAGGA